Karstenula rhodostoma CBS 690.94 is the source of this 97-nucleotide non-coding RNA. Lineage: Eukaryota; Fungi; Ascomycota; Dothideomycetes; Pleosporales; Didymosphaeriaceae. The record is from the annotation of a GenBank genome assembly.
UCCGAUAUGGUCUAGUGGCUAGGAUACAUCGCUCUCAUCUCCAUUCGUUUGGAACAUGCGUCCCGAUGUGGCCCGGGUUCGAUUCCCGGUGUCGGAA